This 2277-nucleotide long non-coding RNA is filed under the name Canis lupus familiaris (dog). RNAcentral describes it as "lncRNA (ENSCAFG00845012689.1)". The record is from RNAcentral. Lineage: Eukaryota; Metazoa; Chordata; Mammalia; Carnivora; Canidae.
UUUUUUUUUUUUUUUUUUUUUUUUUUAAUUUCUGGCAGGCAGUAGAGUAAGGGCAGAUCAAUUUAAUCAGUCUGGGAUAUAACUGAUUCAAAGCUGGUUUUCAGCCUUUAUGAGAGGAUUUAUUUGGGUUUGCUCUCAUCCCAGUUGAGGCCUGAAAUAUUUACCAGAGCCUAACUUCUUUGGCAGGACCUGAACUAAAUGUUUGUCUCCUCUACCCAUAAAACUGGGAAAAGCUCCCUUCAGCUUCUUAGCAUUUUGGCUAAAGUUUAAAAAUCAGCAAAUACUUAGGAAGGUGCCAAGUAUUAGUUUCCCCUCUCUGCAUUCCUCUUUUUUUGUGAUCUUGGCAGCUCUCAUUCUGGCUCCCCUAGUUGACAUCAAUCCCGAUUUUCACUUUUCUAGUCCCAAAAGACUGCUCAAAGCUCUGAUCAAUUUCUCACCACCUCAAUCCUUUGCAGAAAUCAGCAAGGAAAAAGUGGCAUAGAAAUUUGUUUUUUGCUGAGUGCAGUUCCCUUCUCUGUAGGAUCUUGGUUCAAAUGCUGGCACUGAAGUAGUUUUCUUCAAUAUUUUUAAAUAGAUUUAAAUUUAAAAAAAUAGCUUUUAUGGUUGUUUUCAUUAUGUUUACUCUCCUAUAAUUUUUCCUUAUGAGAUUUAUAAUAAUUGUAUUAGGAUAUUAAUAAAAUAGUAUUUGAUAAAGGGGAUAGUGGCUACUCUGUAAAAUAUUAAAGAAAUUAUUUUUGAUUAAUUUCUUCUGAAUUAAUAUCUCUCAGUUCUUACCACAAUAAUAAUUUUAGAAUAUGAUGAUAGGUAUAUGAAAAAAUAACCAAAUCUUCUGAAAGAACAUCAUCUAUUCUACCAUACAUAGAUAGAAGUAACUAUUCUCAUCAUUAUAUAAGAAAGUUGAGAAUUAUAACAGAAAACAAUUAUUUGAAACUGCUCUGUUUUGAACCAUGCAUUUACUACAGCCAGAUGCAAAUCUUUUCACUCUUUCACCUGUCUUCUAUCUCUCUCUGCUCUCUCUCUCUCUCUCUCUUUCUUUAAGAUUUUUAUUUAUUUAUUCAAGAGACACAGAGAGAGGCAGAGACACAGGCAGAGGGAGAAGCAGGCUCCAUGCAGGGAGUCUGAUGUGGGACUCGAUCUCGGGACUCCAGGAUCGCCCUGGGCCAAAGGCAGGUGCUAAACCACCUAGGCAUCCCUCUCUGCUCUCUUUUGAAUGAACCAUGCAUAUACUACAGACAGAUGCAAAUCUUUUCGCUCUUCCACCUGUCUUCCAUCUUUCUUUCUCUCUCUCUCUCUCUAUAUAUAUAUACACACACACACACACAAACAAACAAAUGGCUCCAUUGUUAACUUUAUUUCUUUUUUUCUUUAAUUUUAUUUAUUUAUUCAUGAGAGACACAGAGAGAGAAGCAGAGACAUAGGCAGAGGGAGGAGCGGGGCUCCAUGCAGGGAGCCCAAUGUGGGACUCGAUCCUGGGACUCCAGGAUCAGGCCCUGAGCCCAAGGAAGACACCCAACUGCUGAGCCACCCAGGCAUCUUGUUAACUCUAUGUCUAUUACGUAGAACAUUCCAUAAACUUGGGGUAGCCAAAAGAUAAAAACAGAAUUUUAAGAAAAUAUUUGGAAAUAAAUCACAUUUUCAAUAUAUAAAUUAUAGAGAGGAAAGAUAUAAAAAUAGUUUUAAGAGGUUUUUUUAUUUUUUUAAAGAUUUUAUUUAUUUAUUCAUGAGAGACACAGAGAGAGAGAGGCAGAGACACAGGCAGAGGGAGAAGCAGGCUCCAUGCAGGGAGCCUGAUGCAGGACUCGAUCCAGGACCCCGGGAUUACGACAGUUUUAGGAGUUUAAAUAAAUAAUUUUUGGCAUGAAAAUCUGAUCAUGUAUCUUUAUUGACCAUAAUUACUUAAUGCUAACAGGAACUGGAAGAAAUCUGAAGAUGACAUACUGACUAAGUUAUACAAUUCAGUGAAAACUGCAGUGACAGUCUACUAAUUAUUUUAUUAGGUAAGCUGUCUGACAUAUUAUGGACAGUUUCUGAUAACUUAACUGCUCUAUCCAUGUAAUUGUUUCUAAUUAAUUCAAUUAUUGAGUAUUUUGGUUGAUUUUUAACACAAUGAUUCAAGAUGUCCAAACUUUAGCACAUUAUGCACAUCUAAUAUUUAGUAAAAAGCAUAGUAAACUAACUAAUGAUUUGGUUAAACAGCCCAAAUAAAACAUUCAAUAAAGUACUUUAAAAAAUUUUGUUGAUGUAAAUUGUUGUUUGAAUUAAGAAACUUAAUUAUGC